Molecule: ribosomal RNA, 632 nt
Filed under: Shimia marina
Lineage: Bacteria; Pseudomonadati; Pseudomonadota; Alphaproteobacteria; Rhodobacterales; Roseobacteraceae
Description: bacterial SSU rRNA
Rfam family: Bacterial small subunit ribosomal RNA
Source: RNAcentral
UCCUUCGGGACCGAGCGGCGGACGGGUUAGUAACGCGUGGGAACGUACCCAGAUCUACGGAAUAGCCUUUGGAAACGAAGAGUAAUACCGUAUACGCCCUUCGGGGGAAAGAUUUAUCGGAUUUGGAUCGGCCCGCGUUAGAUUAGAUAGUUGGUGGGGUAAUGGCCUACCAAGUCUACGAUCUAUAGCUGGUUUUAGAGGAUGAUCAGCAACACUGGGACUGAGACACGGCCCAGACUCCUACGGGAGGCAGCAGUGGGGAAUCUUAGACAAUGGGCGCAAGCCUGAUCUAGCCAUGCCGCGUGUGUGAUGAAGGCCUUAGGGUCGUAAAGCACUUUCGCCAGAGAUGAUAAUGACAGUAUCUGGUAAAGAAACCCCGGCUAACUCCGUGCCAGCAGCCGCGGUAAUACGGAGGGGGUUAGCGUUGUUCGGAAUUACUGGGCGUAAAGCGCGCGUAGGCGGGUUAUUAAGUUAGAGGUGAAAUCCCAGGGCUCAACCCUGGAACUGCCUUUAAUACUGGUAACCUAGAGUUCGAGAGAGGUGAGUGGAAUUCCAAGUGUAGAGGUGAAAUUCGUAGAUAUUUGGAGGAACACCAGUGGCGAAGGCGGCUCACUGGCUCGAUACUGACGCUG